AGGAUUAACGCUGGCGGCGUGCCUAACACAUGCAAGUCGAACGAGGUAGCAAUACCUAGUGGCAGACGGGUGAGUAACGCGUGGUCAACCUACCGUUGAGUGGGGGAUAACUAAUCGAAAGGUUAGCUAAUACCGCAUACGUGUCCGAGGGGCAUCCCUUGGCCAUAAAAGGAGCAAUCCGCUCGAUGACGGGACCGCGUCCCAUUAGCUAGUUGGUGGGGUAACGGCCUACCAAGGCACCGAUGGGUAGCUGGUUUGAGAGAGCGACCAGCCACACUGGGACUGAGAAACGGCCCAGACUCCUACGGGAGGCAGCAGUGAGGAAUUUUCCGCAAUGGGCGAAAGCCUGACGGAGCGACGCCGCGUGUGGGAAGAAGGCCUUCGGGUCGUAAACCACUGUCGAAGGGACGAUAAUGACGGUACCCUUGGAGGAAGCCCGGCUAACUACGCGCCAGCAGCCGC
RNAcentral lists this ribosomal RNA (462 nucleotides) under uncultured bacterium. RNAcentral's name for it is "SSU rRNA". It matches the Rfam family "Bacterial small subunit ribosomal RNA", at positions 26 to 518 of the family's 1533-position model. The record is from RNAcentral.